This 28-nucleotide small RNA is filed under the name Bombyx mori (domestic silkworm). RNAcentral describes it as "ovarian small RNA-8473". Lineage: Eukaryota; Metazoa; Arthropoda; Insecta; Lepidoptera; Bombycidae. The record is from RNAcentral.
UGCAAGUAAUGAUUGGGUCAGCCGUUGG